Molecule: ribosomal RNA, 439 nt
Filed under: uncultured bacterium
Lineage: Bacteria
Description: partial 16S ribosomal RNA
Rfam family: Bacterial small subunit ribosomal RNA
Source: RNAcentral
CUACGGGGUGCUGCAGUGAGGAAUAUUGCACAAUGGGGGGAACCCUGACGCAGCAACGCCGCGUGGAGGAUGACGCAUUUCGGUGUGUAAACUCCUUUUAUAUGUCAAGAAAAUGACGGUAGCAUAUGAAUAAGCACCGGCUAACUCCGUGCCAGCAGCCGCGGUAAUACGGAGGGUGCAAGCGUUACUCGGAAUCACUGGGUGUAAAGGACGCGUAGGCGGGUUGGAAAGUCAGGUGUGAAAUCCUACAGCUUAACUGUAGAACUGCACUUGAAACUUCUAAUCUAGAGUAUGGGAGGGGGAGAUGGAAUUAGUGGUGUAGGGGUAAAAUCCGUAGAUAUCACUAGGAAUACCUAAAGCGAAGGCGAUCUCCUGGAACAUUACUGACGCUAAGGCGUGAAAGCGUGGGGAGCAAACAGGAUUAGAUACCCCAGUAGUC